AAUCCAACACGCAGUAGCGUCCCUUUGUGCCUCGCCUCGUUGGACCUCUGCAAUUGAAACUCCCUCUUUACCGUUUCUCAACGUUUACCCCAUUUUUCCUUCCGCCGAUCCUCCGCCUCCGCUUAAUUCCCUUUUCUAUUCGCUAAUUCUUCCAUUUUCUCUCCCCCCCGAUCUCCUUUUUCCCACCGGAAUGUCAUACGCCUACCUUUUCAAGUACAUCAUCAUUGGUGAUACUGGAGUUGGAAAAUCAUGUCUCCUUCUCCAGUUUACCGACAAGAGAUUCCAGCCUGUUCAUGACUUGACUAUUGGUGUAGAAUUUGGUGCGAGGAUGAUCACCAUCGACAAUAAACCAAUCAAGUUGCAAAUUUGGGAUACGGCUGGUCAAGAAUCUUUCAGGUCUAUUACGAGGUCCUACUAUAGAGGAGCUGCUGGUGCAUUGCUUGUCUACGACAUCACAAGAAGGG
This 464-nucleotide unclassified non-coding RNA is filed under the name Hevea brasiliensis (rubber tree). Lineage: Eukaryota; Viridiplantae; Streptophyta; Magnoliopsida; Malpighiales; Euphorbiaceae. The record is from RNAcentral.